This is a long non-coding RNA of Neodiprion fabricii, 335 nucleotides long. RefSeq lists it as uncharacterized. The transcript is spliced from 4 exons. NCBI's taxonomy places the organism in Eukaryota, Metazoa, Arthropoda, Insecta, Hymenoptera, Diprionidae. The record is from RefSeq and is a predicted model, not a curated record.
CUCAACCUCCCGGAUCCCGCGCUGCGGGUCCGCUACGAAUUUCGAGUACCGGGUUCUCAACCUCCCGGAUCCCGCGCUUCGGGUCCGCUACCUGGUGAAACUCGACUUCCAGGACAAGGUGGAGGAGAAGGAUUUCUACACAGUACAACCCAAGGUGGUUAUCGGUGGUCGUUGGAUGUGGUUGGCGAUGGUUGAAGGUGUUCGGAGUUGGACGAGGAGGAGGACGAGGAAGACAAGGAGAUGAAGGUGGACGAGGAUUUGUGCUCGGUAUAACCCGAGGUGGUUGGCGGUGGUUGGAGGUGGUCGGAGGUGUACGAGGUGGACCAGGAGGAGGA